GAUGAAGAACGCAGUGAAAUGCGAUAAGUAAUGUGAAUUGCAGAAUUCAGUGAAUCAUCGAAUCUUUGAACGCACAUUGCGCCCCCUGGUAUUCCGGGGGGCAUGCCUGUCCGAGCGUCAUUACAACCCUCAAGCUCAGCUUGGUAUUGGGCCCCGCCGACCCGGCGGGCCCUAAAGUCAGUGGCGGUGCCGUCCGGCUCCGAGCGUAGUAAUUCUUCUCGCUCUGGAGGUCCGGUCGUGUGCUCGCCAGCAACCCCCAAUUUUUUUCAGGUUGACCUCGGAUCAGGUAGGGAUACCCGCUGAACUUAAGCAUAUCAAUAAGCGGAGGA
This 329-nucleotide unclassified non-coding RNA is filed under the name soil metagenome. Its description in RNAcentral is "partial contains 5.8S ribosomal RNA, internal transcribed spacer 2, and large subunit ribosomal RNA". The stretch from base 1 to 120 matches the Rfam family "5.8S ribosomal RNA", at positions 35 to 154 of the family's 154-position model. The record is from RNAcentral.